Molecule: long non-coding RNA, 255 nt
Organism: Symphalangus syndactylus (siamang)
Lineage: Eukaryota; Metazoa; Chordata; Mammalia; Primates; Hylobatidae
Source: RefSeq, a predicted model, not a curated record
AAAAUGGCUGUAAGGUCACCUCCAUGGUCAAAGUCUUCAUUUGAAGAGCACAGAUCUUCUUGGCAACUUUGUUGAAAAUAAAUUGGCAAAAAGUAUACAUCACUUAGAUGAAUGAUACUUCAGGAGCAGUUCACGUCAUUCAUUUUCCUUCGAAGGCCUCCUCCAAUAUUGUCGAAAAUCUGUUCUUGCUGCCCAACUCCCUGAAUCUUAUGCUAAUACUCAUUGCCUGUAUUUCUCAAGUGAAUGAAUGUAUGA